RNAcentral lists this unclassified non-coding RNA (391 nucleotides) under soil metagenome. Its description in RNAcentral is "partial contains 5.8S ribosomal RNA, internal transcribed spacer 2, and large subunit ribosomal RNA". The stretch from base 1 to 122 matches the Rfam family "5.8S ribosomal RNA", at positions 35 to 154 of the family's 154-position model. The record is from RNAcentral.
GAUGAAGAACGUAGCGAAAUGCGAAACUUGGUGUGAAUUGCAGAAUCCCGUGAACCAUCGAGUCUUUGAACGCAAGUUGCGCCCGAAGCCAUUAGGCCGAGGGCACGCCUGCCUGGGCGUCACACGUCGUUGCCCCCCCAUCUAAUCCUUCGGGAUUGCGGGGGGCGGAUGAUGGCCUCCCGUGCGCCUCGUCGCGCGGUUGGCAUAAAUGCCAAGUCCUCGGCGACGCACGCCACGACAAUCGGUGGUUGCGAAACCUCGGUUGCCCGUCGUGUGCGGUCGUCGCGCAUCGAGGGCUCGAAAAAAUUGCCGGGCUCCGGCUCGGCUUUCAACGCGACCCCAGGUCAGGCGGGGUUACCCGCUGAAUUUAAGCAUAUCAAUAAGCGGAGGA